This 31803-nucleotide long non-coding RNA is filed under the name Hordeum vulgare. Its description in RNAcentral is "long non-coding RNA (HVUL_LNC020989)". Lineage: Eukaryota; Viridiplantae; Streptophyta; Magnoliopsida; Poales; Poaceae. The record is from RNAcentral.
UCUCCCCAAGGUGACUUAUGAAACGGCUUAGGGCUCCAAUACGACCCGCCAUGCGCUGAACUUGGUUGGUAUUGGCCGGCUUGCCAAGUGAAGUAAUCGCCUUGAUUUUGUCCGGGAUAGCCUCAAUGCCUCGUUCUGACACCAACAAGCCAAAUAACUUUCCUGCAGGAACGCCGAAAACACACUUGGUCGGGUUAAGCCUCAUCUGCUACACGCGCAAAUUGUCGAAGGUCUCCUUAAGGUCCUCCAAGAGUGACUCCUUCUUCUGGGGCUUCACCACUAUGUCAUCAACAUAGGCAUGAACAUUGCGCCCAAUUUGAUUGUGCAGGCAAUUCUAGAUGCAGCGUUGAUAAGUCGUCCCUGCGCUCUUGAGCCCGAACGGCAUAGACACAUAGCAAAAGGCUCUAAAGGGAGUUAUGAACGUUGUCUUCUCCUGAUACUCCAACGCCAUUUUGAUCUGGUGAUAUCCUGAAUAAGCAUCCAGGAAACAUAGUCGCUCACAACCCGCCAUAGAGUCAAUGAUUUGAUCAAUACGAGGGAGGGCGAAAGGAUCUUUUGGGCAAGCCCUGUUGAGGUCGGUGUAGUCAAUGCACAUGCGGAAGGUACCAUUCUUCUUGAGUACCAGAACCGGAUUGGACAACCACUCACGAUGAAAAACCUCAACAAUGAAUCCAGCAACCAAGAGUCGGGCGACUUCCUCCCCAAUCUCUUUACGCCUUUCUUCAUUAAACCAGCGAAGAUACUGCCGAACUAGCUUAAUCUUAGGAUCAAUGUUAAGGUGGUGCUCAGCGAAUUCUCUCGGUACACCCGGCAUAUCAGAAGGUUUCCAUGCGUAGAUGUCCCGAUUCUCAUGGAUGAAUUCGAUGAGCGUGCUUUCCUAUUUGGGAUCCAAACACGUCCCAAUGGUGAAUUGCUUGGAAGAGACGCCGGGCAUGAAGUCCACCAACUUAGUGUCAUCUGUCGGUUUGAACUUGACGGGCGGCUUUGUAUCGACUGUGGGUUUCUUGAGUGGUGUCAUAUCCGUCGGAUCAACAUUAGCAUGAUGAAACUUGAGUUCCUCAGCGGCACAAGCCGACUCAGCAUAAGCUGCGUCUCCCUCUUCGAAUUCUUGAGCUAUCUUCCGGUCUCCACUGAUCGUAAUAGUUCCUUUGGGACCCGACAUCUUGAGCUUGAGGUAGACAUAACAUGGGCGGGCCAUGAAAUGGGCGUAAGCUGGCCGACCGAAAAGCGCGUGGUAAGGACUCCUGAUCUUGACCACCUUAAACAUGAGGGACUCGCUCCUGUAAUUAGACUCUGUGCCAAAGGCCACGUUAAGCUUGAUCCUCCCAACAGGCUAUGCCGACUUACCCGGGACAAUGUCGUGGAAGACCGUGGAGGAUGGCAUCAAAUUGCCUUCCGACAAAUUCAUCCGUCGAAAAGUAUCAAAGUAUAAGAUGUUGAUGCUACUGCCUCCGUCCUAAGGACCUUGGAGAGGGUAUAGCCCCCUACCUGGGGUGCCAUGACCAAAGCUAAGUCGCCAGGGUUGUCGACCUGUGGCGGGUGAUCCUCCCUACUCCAAACAAUGGGUUGUUCAGACCAGUUGAGGUACCUGGGGAGCUCUGGCUCAAUAACACUGAAGGUUAUGUGCCUAACUUUUUGGUCCCUUUUACAAGUACUGGUGGUGAACACAUGAUACUGCCUGCCAUUUAGCUGCUUAGGAUUGUUCUGAAAGCCGUUGUUGUCAUUCUGCUGCUGGGAGCCGCCUUACAGAGGUUGCCACUGAAAAGCACCCUCAGCAUUAUAUUUUUGACUGCUCUGGACUUGAUACUGCCUAGCAUUAGCCUAUGACCCGCCCUGCGGGCCCGGGUUAGGAAAACCACCGAACGGGUUUCUGUGUGAGCCACUCGUACCAAAUUGGUCUGGGAGUCCGCCAUUGUUGCCUCCUUGCCCAUUUUUGAGUGCUUCAGCAAGAAACUCCUGCAUCACAUAACUCCUUGCCCUUCCGCGGUGGUAUGUUGUGGGCAGAGGCCCUUGAGCAUCUCAUGAUAGUUGCGUGGCAUUUUUCCACGGAAGCACCUUUUCUUCUGACGCUCGUUCCCGUUCCCAACGUUAGUAUGGCAACGAAAUCGGCGGCGCCUUCCUGCUGCCUCUUCUUCCCUUGUCCCGCGGGGUGGUAGCUGCCUCGCCCCUAGAACUGAGGGUGGCCUUUGGAUGACUCACCCCUUCUAGCGGUGCUGAUUUUGUCGUCAUCCUCCCCGAGAUCUUUGGUAUCACCUGAUUCGGUGUACCUAGUCACAGUGUCCAUCAACUCCCCCAUGUCUUGCACCUUACGCUUGAGCCGCCCAAGUUUCAACACCAAAGGCUCGUAAUGACAGUUUUUCUCCAAGAUUAGCACGGCCUGAGCCGCCGAAAUAUCAUCCGAUGUAUGGAUCACUUCUGCAACCAGCCGCGUCCAGUGGUGGGCCGACUCAUCCGGCCGCUGGACACAGUGCUUUAAGUCGACGAUAGUCAUCGGGCGCUUGCAGGUCCCUCUGAAGUUUUUAACAAAACGUUCCUUCAACUCGGCCCAGGUGUUGAUGGAGUUGGGUGGCACGUUCUUCAGCGAGGUGCGCGUUGUCCCUUCAAGCAUCAUUGUAAAAUACUUCGCGCAUAUUGCCUCAUUUACAUCGAGCAUGUCCAUCGCAACUUCAUAGCUUUCAAUCCAUGCCCCUGGCUCUAGAUGUGGCGUGUAAUUGGGAACUUUACGUGGGCCUUUGAAAUCUUUCGGCAUACGCUCGUUGCGGAGGCCGGGUGUCAGACAAGGUAUCCCAAUGUUCCUGCCACCCGACUCGGCCUGCAUGGGAGAAGGUAACUUAUAAGCCGGAUAGCCUUGACCCACCGCGGCCGCCGUCUCCAUCAAGCGAGCGGCUCAUGCUGCACCCACGAGUUCUUGAGCCUGUAUGUCGGGUAUUCCGGGCGGGUUGAUCUGCGGUAGACGUCGUCGUUCAUUGCUGGAUACUGUGGGCGGGUCAUCAUGACGACUCCUGGUGUGACUCGCCUGGGGCGUGGAGUGAAGCCGCUCGUGGCUAUACGAAUACUGUGCCUAUUGGACUAUCACCGUUUUCAACAUCUCAAUGGUGUUCCUCGCCUCUACCUCAGUCGGAGAGUUUCCAUGAAUGGGGAGAGAUUCAAGGUUGCGGGUUGCUACUAACACAUUCUCAACAGGGUGUGAGAAGUGACCCCGUGGUGUUUGGAAGCGCGGCGCAUGAGCCGCCCCCAGCUGAGGGGCCUGUGGGUGGGGCGGCGGCUGAGCUGGAUCAACACGCGGGGCGACUUGCCAUGGCCGGGUGGGCUCCGUCCCCGGAGUAUUUGUGCUAUCGAAGAGUCGAGUUGGGUUCAGAUCGGCCAACACACGGUUGUGAUGCCUUAUCUGGUGAAUCGCAUCGGAAGCCCGUUGUUGUUGUUCAAGCCGCCAUCCCUCAGCAUUUAGCCGUUCUGACUCCGCGGUGAUCUGGGCCCGUUGUGUUGCCAUCAUGGCCGCUUCUCCUCCGAUGUCGCGCUGUAUUUUGGCCAUCUCUUCCCCUAGUUUGGCUAACUCAGCAUGGACUUCUUCCUGAUUCUCCGCCGUCAUAGUGAUCACUGUGAGUUUGGCCAUCUCUGCUACCAAAUCCGCCAUGGCUUGAGCCGGAGUCUUCCCCAAUCCGCUGGCUUCUUUGUUACCAGCCACGUUUGGCUGAGGGGCCGCCGCUGCCGCCAUGUAGAUGGCGACUUGGUGGUGGGGUCCUUAAACUUCCUGAUAGAUUGCUGCCUCGGGCAAUCCCCCGAGCUACCCUUCGUGGAGAGGAUAGAUCGAAUAUGUGUCGCCCGUGGAAGACUCGUCGUCCGAGUUGACAGGGGUGAUCUCCUGGAUCACUGGCUCGUCCGGUAGGUCGGUUCCUUGUGUAAAACCAACGAAAGCACGGUGUUUCCCGACGUGAUGCUUGGCAGGAUGGGCGCACCGGGCCGGCUCGACGAUGUCAGUGAAGGUGUCCGGCUCAGGUACAGGGGCCCCGAUCUUGCCAAUGAAGACGUGGAUCUUACCGAAGGGGGCCAUGUAUCCAGAUUCGAUUGAAUCGGCCUCAGGUCCCCACUAAGAGUUGUCAAUGUAGUACUUCCCACAGCGGCUCUUCAUCAUGAUGCCGACCGCGUAGCUUCCUAACCCUGGAAGGGCUCCCUUUGAGAACUCAACUCCACCGUGCGCAUGCCCCAUGGUGGGCGCCAACUGUCGUGGUUUUGUCAUGACAGAUGUUCUCGUGAAAGGACUUAGUGAUGGUGCCAUCGCACCUUGGUGGCGACUCAAAGGGGGUGAGCAGAAGCGACACUCAGAUUUACCCAGGUUCGGCCCCUCCGAUGGAGGUAAAAGCCUACAUCCUGCUUUGUGUAUAUUGAUGGUGGAUUCGAUUACAAGAUGGGUCUAACUCGCCUGACCUAGCUCUCAAUGGAUUCUAACUUAACCUAUCAGCCCUAGAGACUCGCCCUUUAUAUACAGGUCGAGGCCUUAGGGUUUACAAAGUACUGGCCACAUUACAAAUCGUGGUUGUCCAUAUCUCUAAGUCGUCGUGUCAUACAAGCUAGGAAACCUCCUUGGCGGCUUAUCUUCUCCAUUAGUCUCGAACCGCCAUCUAGUCGUAUGGGCCCUCUCCGGCUCUUUGUAGGUUCUUCUGGUGCAUCUCAGACCUUGGGCCGAGACUUAUCUUGAUCAUGAAUGUAGAAUCUCCGUUUACUUGACCCAGCCCAAUAGGGCAGGUCAUACCGUAGGUCAUAUUCCCAACAAGAGGCAUGGUCCACAAACAGGCAUGGGUCAACUUAUACACACACACACAACUGAAGCAUGGUCCACACACACAGAUAUGGGUUGACACAUACGCACACACACACACAUACACAUCACCCAUCCUUCGUUUUCCGGUGUUAUCAGCCAAAGGGAUGACACACUCUGAGGGCCGACCGAUACGUAUGUCGUCAAAAACAGCACAACGGACUCAUGGUCCACAGAGGGUUCACACACACACACACGCACACACACACAGACAUAUUUUCAAAACCGCAAAAGAAAAUCACUCUAAAUAUUUUCCAAACAGGGACCUCAAGAUUUAUUUAGCCGGGUUGACUUAUCACUAGAAGCAUUUACUUCUAAAUAUGUGUAGUGAUCAUAUCUCCGCCCAAAUGAACAUUGAGAUCUAGCAACUUCCAAAUUGGACAUCCAUCCCUCGACUACUACACCCAUAGAACGCUUAACUUCCAAAUUCAAAUCGAAUUGGUUAGGAGCUCGGAAGCUACAACUUGCUAAUAAGGGUUGCCUCCUAGCAUUUAUAAGACGUUCCCCCAUGGGCACCUCGUGGGACCAGCUACAUAUCGCAGACAUUUAUGGUAGUACUAGAAACCAUGUGCGAUGGUGGCAUGGCAUCGCCUGCCGAUGCCUGCAUGGGAUAAUGAUGAUGUCUCGCUCAUGCUCGAUCGCAUGAUUCCGCUCUUGCGCGACCUCGUCCAUCUUGUCCUCCUCGUCGAGGAGGUUGAUGUCGGGGCUGGCACUUCGGCGGGAAACCGAUUGGCGGAUUGGUAGGAAAAACGUGUUUUGAUAGAACACCAUUUUAAUAUAAAAAAGAUAACUUAUGAAAGAAGGAAGCUCGAGCUAUCACGACACGUGCUUACACCAUGCUUACACAAGCACGAGCUCCAAGCUGAUGUAUAGAGCUGCUUUAAAUUACUCGUGGUUUGUUUGGCCUUUCUUAUACUACAAUAAUUGAGUUUUCUACGUAUUUAAUGUGCAUAAUUAAAAUUGAACUGAAAGCAUAGUCUCAAUGUCAGCAAAAUGGGUUGACAAAUCAUAUUUGUGUGCUUGUGUCCCAGUUUAGGUCACAUGCAAUGAGUGUGAAUGGAUUACAAACAUGUCACCAUCAUGAAUAUGCCAAAAACAUUGAGAAACUUGGCUUUUAGAUUCCCAUAAAUAUAAAACUCGUCUUACAUUUUUCAAACUUACACUGGAGUCGUGAGAAGACACUUAUACGCCAUGGUAAAUUUUUUGACCAAUAUGGGAGAAGUCUCUUGCACCCGAGAACUUCUCUCAAGAUGCAUCAUAGUUUUGAUAGGGAACAUGUCACCUAUGUGGGUGGAACGACAUUCAAUGCCAUUUCUUGCCCAAAUUUUUUUGCACAUGCAACAUAUACUAAUACAAGUGUAUUGCUAAAUUGUAGAAUUAUUCACGGCUUGUUUGGCCCCAUGUAUACAUUAGUUGAGUUCUCUAGCCAUUUCAUGUGUAUAAUUCAAAUUUGAACUACACGCACAUGCUCCAGGGCACCAAAAUGGGUUAGAAAAUUAUUUUUGUGUCCCUCGAUCCCUAUUUAUGCCCCAUGCAUCAGACGCAUGCACUAAAUAUGAAUGGAUUACAAACAUCUCACAGCAGUGUCUAGGCUCCAAACAUUGAGAAACUUGUCUUUUAAAUCCCCAUUAAUCCAAAACUCGCAUGAAAUUCUUAAAUCUUACCCCGAUAUCAUGACACAACACUUAUACGACAUAGUAAUUUUUUCACAAAAUUUGGGACAAGUUUUGGGACUAACAUCUUACACAUCAAAGCUUCCAACGAGAAGCAUCAUGGUUUCAAUAGGGAACAUGUCACCUUUGUGGUCAAAAUGACAUGAGUUUUCUAGGCGCUUAAUGUGAAGAACUCAAAUUUGAACUACAACCACGUGCUCGAGGGCACCAAAAUGGAUUAAAAACCAUUUUUGUUGUUGGGUACUUGUUUAGAUCCCAUGCAUCGAAGGUAAAUGAAUUACAGCCAUAUUGGCAUCAUGACUUGGAUGCAAACAUUGAGAAUCUUGGUUUUUAAAUCCUCAAAAGUCCAACGCUUGUGUGAAAUUCAUGAAACUUACCCAGUGUCAUGCCAUGACACAUAUAUAAUGUGCUAAUAUUUUUGAUGAAAAUUUGUUGGAAAACCAUUUUUGUGUCCAUGGCUGCUCACUUAGGUCCCCUGCAAUGAAUAUGAAUGAAUUUGAAACAUUUAAGCAUCAUAGCUAGGCCACAAUCAUUGAGAAUCUUGAUUUUUGAAUUCCUGUAAAUACCAAACUCGUACGAAAUUAAUGAAACUUAGAGGUCUUGGUACCAUACGGUUCCUAAUUUUAGAAGGCUCACACAAUAACAGGCAACGUAAACAUUUUGGAACAAAUAAUUGCCACGUUAUUGUCACAAAAAGUUGCAUUACGUGAAUCAUGUGCGUUUUCAUAACCAUUUGGUGCAUGUGUCCAACUUAGUGUUUACUUGAUAUGGCAUUGGCGUGCAUACAUCUGUUUGAUUACAGGAAGUCUGUGAGCUUUUGUCGCGUAGACUCGACGGGACGCAUGAGGGCUGUCCGCCGCGCAGCCUCAAUAGUACACAUGAGAGCUAUCUGUCGCGUACGCUCUACGGGAUGCAUGAGAGCAGUCUGUCGCGCAGGCUCUAUGGGACGCAUGAGAGCAGUCUGCUGCGAAGGCUCACCGGGAAGCGAGACUUUUACCUCCACUCUCCGCUCGCCUUGCUUCCAACUUUUGAAUUAAUGGUGUCCCACCCGUUGUUUAUCAAUUUUCAUGCGGUUAAUUUGCCUGGAAGGAGGGACUAAUAUGCUUGUGAUCGCAUUGCCCCGCUCAACAUAAGCAUUGUUUUGUGCGUGCCUCACUGAGAACUUGACUUUUCGCCUGUUUUCGAUACUCAUACAUGUCGGAAUAAUACAACGACAAAUUCACACCCGAAAAGGAUAAUAAUUGUCUUACAUAUUCAGGAUAAUAUAAAAUACCACAUGCGACACCUCCCCAAAGACAUAGGGACAAAAGAAGAAGGAAGAGGCUAAAGAAGGAAGACACAUACAACGAUUUGGGCCGCUGCUAACUAAUUCUUCAUGGAUUUUCGGCCGUACAGUUCCUCAAUCUCCUUCUUCAUCACCUCCACGACCUCCAUCUCCUCCUACCUCUCCUCUUCCAUCUUCCGCAUUGCGGCCAUGGCACAUGAUUUUUGCUGGAAAGCAUAGAUGCUCUCCUUUACGGAUGCAUGAAAUUCAUGGACAUGCGCCACGGAUUCCUUAAACACCCCUUCACACACUAUGUGGAGCUUCGCUAAGUCUUCCAAAAGUUCGUUGGCGUGAUUUUUAAGCCACCCCUCGGAGGCACUUUUCUCCUCGAGCAGCUUCUUCCAGGCGACGGUCUGCUGCUCCUCCUCCUUCUAGCCCGUAAGUUUCACGAUGAAGCCGGUCACCUUGUUAAGCGAGGCAUUUCUCUUCUCCAGUAGCUUCACCAAGGCAUUGAUCUCCUUCUCCUUCUUAUCAAGCUUUGCGUGCAUGCAUUCGCUGGCUGAGGAAUACACCACUGCCACCUCGUCCAGUUCGCCUCUGAGGCGAAUGCGCUUGUGAUUGUGAGAGACCUUGCCUCUCCGUGCAAGAUUCUUCGAGGCGUCCGUAGCUCCGUUAGACAUCUCUGCUAUAGCAAACGUGGCGUGGCUGGAGCUCUCUGGCGCUUCUUCGACGCGUCUACGGGACCUCUCGGUUGCUACCGCAGCCUUGGUAUUUCUUCCCUAGUUAUGUCUUGACCUAGAAACCCCCCUCCUAUUGGCCAUGGCAGACAGAAUUUUGGAGGAAUGAUUAACAAGAAAGGCCCGUUUUUUUGGUGAUGGGGAGAGGAACUGUAACGCCCAAGAUGUGGUACUAUCCUUAUUUAGGCUGAAGCCUUGAUAGGGAUAUAAGCGCAUCUCAUCAUUUCGCAAGUAUAUACAUCAUUGCAAUAUAUGUAAUAGAGGAAAUGAGUAUAUGAUGUUGCUUACACUUGCCACAUGCUAAAUUACAUAAUCUGUACAAUCAUCCAUUCAAACAUCCAUAAGAGCAGGGUCCGACUAUGAGCGAAAUCAAACCACAAAAGAAAAUUACGUCUAUUUUGCUAUUCCCACGAAUACGUCCAAGGAUCCCUCUACUCGUUGGGAUAAGUGACGUACAUACGUUCGCGCUCCUCGUCAAACUCCCACUAGAGCUGGGAAGCAUCACGUGCAUCAACCUCUGUUUUACCUAGACCGGUGGUGUUGUAGUAAUCUAUGAGCCAUGGGGACUCUGCAAUCUCAUCGACCAAGAUAUCGAGUCUAAUCAAGUUAUUAGUUGAGGCAUGGUUAAGUGUUGAGGUUGCAGCAGCACUAAGCAUAUAUUUGGUGGUCAGCUUUUGAGUACAUAGUAAGAUGAGAGGCUACACAUAACAGAUGUGAAUUUAACAUAAUCAAGAAGUGAUCAUGAAAACCUACUUAAUUUUCGAACAUAACUCCAUUGUGUUCUCUUCCCGAACUCCCUAGAAAAGGGACAAUCACGGUUACACACACAAUUGGUCUAUUUUAGUUGAGUUUACCUCAAGUUUUUUAUAAGUGGGUGUUAAACUAUUUCCAAGUUGGCCACAUAAUUGCGGGCACGACUUUCAAAAAGAUUUAACACUACAGGGGUGUUGUAACUCAUCCAUCAAAACUAGACACAAGCUUCGCUGGAAAACCUCAAUGUCAAGAUAGUCCAAGGUAUCCUCAAAUUCCAAGUGCACAAGAUAUUCAAAAAAGGUAAACAAAUCCAGCAAGACCGUCCAUCAGGCUAGAUCCCAAUGGGAGUCGCGCAUAUCCCUUUCUCAGGGCACUACCAGAUGGGAAAGCCUAUGAGUAAAACCAAACCCAGGGUUUCCCCAUGGUAAACCCAGCAGUCUGCCCGUUUGGACCAACACUCAUGAGGAGCACUGGCCCGAGUUGUUGAUUAAUUAUCCAUGGGGUAGCUAAGCCCUAUGUGUUUUUAUUAGGUUGUUAGGAAAUAUAGUAUCAAUAUUGGGCCUUGCCGGAAGAUUUUUAUCGCAAAACAAAUUAUCAUGGGGGUCCCCAUAAAAACCCCAAGCAUGUUAGGAGCGCUCAAUAUGGAACAUAACACCAGUAAACGGAAACUAGGGCGGCAAAGGCGGAACAAAACACUGAGCAAAAGUCCAAGCCUUCCACCUUUUACCAAUUAUAUGUGCAUUGAAUUAAAUAGCAAUAAUAUGGUGAUAUCCCAAAAUAUCAUUUUUGACACAUGGAUCAACCUGCCAGUGCAAGUAACAACGAUAUAAGGACUGAGAAAGCUUUCCUAGGAGGUGGAGGGGUUAGAGGCUUAUUAUGGAAUUUUGGGACGUUUGGCAUUCAAGUGGUAGGCAGCGAGAAAUAAUGGUAGAAGCUAGACAACUAUGCACAACAAAAGUAGAAACGAUACCAAGGGUGGUGAUCAUCUUACCUUGUGCUUCUUCAAUGGGAUAGAACUCUUACUCUUUAGAAACAUUCUCGACAGGUACCUCAUACACGUUUUUUCUCAUCACCCGAUGCUACCCAAAAGAAAUAACAACAUCCAAUGAACACACAACCAAGGCACAAUGAUCAAGCAAUAUGAUGUGUGGUCAUGUGGUUAAUGAAACAUGGCAAACCCAUACUAGUCAUCUUUCUCAUGCGAUUAUUUAGUUAUUUAAUUACCUGGACACAAACUCAAGAUUAAUUAUUUGGAUAUGCAUGAAUAUAGGAAAAAUGAAUGCUUCACAUGAAUAUGGUGCAAAUGCAUAUGAAGAACGUUGCAAUCAGAGUUAUGGAUCUCUCAGGGCACUCGCGACAAGGUACGGAAGAAAACGAUGACAAAACAGAAUUUGAGAGAGGUUAUGGAAAAUUUCUUGGUAUCCCAAGUAUGUAAUGGAUUGUAAAUGAAAUUAUAGGUGAAAUGGACCUAAAUAUCAUGAAAAACAAGUGGGUAAAACUCACACAAAGUCCAAAAACGAAUAUGCAAUGUAAUCUGUCCAAUGCGUCAACAUGGCAUUUUGCACACAUCAAAACAACAAGGUACGGGAAUCUAAAAUGCACAAACAAGGCAUGGGGAAGAAGUAUGUAACAUAUACUUCAUUUCAUCACGAGGAAUCACACUCAAAAGAGUCAUGGAUCACAUGGUAGGAAGCUCACAACAUGACUAUACAAAUUAGCAUUUAGGGACUUAGUGAAAAUAACAGUUUUUCCACAACCAGUGUUAACCUGAAGACAUAUUGACAGCAAGCAAACUAUAUGCUAAGGAUCUAUCACCGCAUGCAAAUCUAGAGCAUGGUAGUGGACAUGAUGCACUACAAGUAACUCCAGAGGGGCAUCAUCAAAAUAUCCACAGAAACUUGGCUAGCGUCAACACAGUAAGGCAAUCUAAAAUAAAAAGUUUCUCGGACUUAGAAAAAAUAACAUGGUGCACACAGCAGCGGUUUUAAUAGAUUGACAUGUUUGACAACAAAAUUAACUAUGAUGCUAAUCCUAUUAUGAUUACUAAUGGCACAAAAUGGUAGAUCACAACAUGCUUUGUAAAACACCCCAUGGGGGCAACAUCAAAUGAGUUGUAGCUCAAUGGAAAUUCACAUGCAAACAUAGCACCAAAAUAUAGCAGUUUCAGAAUUAGAAUUAUUUUGACACCUCAAAAUAUCAACAUGUUAUAACAUGUUGAUAGCAAGAAACUAACACCUAAACAUGGUUUUCCAUGGCAAACAAAAAUAUCAAGGCCUAGUACACAUGUCAAAGGGCAUUUUUAAUGUUCAUACUUAUUUCAUAGGGUGCAUGGAAUAAUCACACAAAAUAGACAAAAUGACAUCUCAGCAAAAUUUAUCAUGCACACAAACUUGCUCAAAUGAUAAAACUAAUGCCAUAGAUGAAUUCUAUGUAUUUUUCUACCCCAAUUUCAUAUACAAUAUGUGUCGGGUAUUGUACAAAAUAGUUCACAACAAUUUAAACAAGUUUAUCAUAAUUCUGAAAAGCUAGAAAUAACAAAAAUGCUUCAUAGAAAACGAAAAAACAAGAUGGGCUAGGAACAGCCAGGCUCUCCUACCCACUAUCCAUGACAGGUGGGCCUGGUCCCACGCAUAUAGGCAAGAGGAUGACAUAGGUGGUCCAUCUGUCAUAGGGGCAUAAUUCCAAAAAAUGGUUUUAAAGGCGUGCUCAGGGGAUUCGAACCCAGGUCUCCCCGGCAAGAGCGAGGGUGUCGAGCCACUGGGCUAGUUAGAAAAAGCUAAACCAAGAGGGUCUCAGCUUUAGUGAUCAUGUCAUUUUCAAGGAUUUGACCCUCACUAGUUUCAGAACAAAUGAGCGGGGUACGACAUUUUGUUCCAUAUAGAAUAUCUAAUGGGGCCUUGCCCGAACUUGUUUGAAAAGUAUUGUUGUGGGAAAACUCGGCAAACGGGAGGCAGACUUCCCACUUCAUGCCGAAAGAAAUGACACACACUCUGAGCAUGUCUUCAUGGUUUUGAUUGACUCUCUCAAGUUGACCACUUGUGUGAGGGUGGAAAGUUAUACUGGAAUGGAUCUUCGUACCCAUUGCAGAUUGGAAGGAAUCCCAUAACUUGAAAGUGAAGAUGCUUCCACGGUCUGAAGAUAUAAGCUGUGGAAUACUAUGCAAAGAAACUAUCCUUCAUGUGUAUAGCUCUACCAGCUGAGCUGUCGUGAUAGAUACUUUAACCUAAAGGAAGUAGAUGACUUUCGUGAGCUUGUCGAUGACCACAAACAACAACAUUUUAUUGCAUGUUGACAGCAAGAAACUAACACUUAAACAUGGCUUUUCAUGGCAAACAAACAUACUAGGGGCUAGUACACAUGUCAACGGGCAUUUUUCAUGUUCAAACUAAUUUCAUAGGAUGUAUGGAUUAAAUCACACAAAAUAGACAAAACGACAUCUCAACAAAAUUUAUCAUACACACAAACUUGCUUAAAUGAGGGGAUUGGAAAUCGAGUCUCCUUGGCGAGCGUGAGGGAGCCGAGCCACUCGGCUAGGUGGGAAUAUACCUGGCCAAACGUGUCGUGCCUGCCGGGCCGGCCCGACUGCCCGCAGGCCAGGUACGACACGGGUCGGGCCCGACACGGCCUAAUCGUGCCCGGGCCAGGCACGAGCACGCCAUGGGUCGUGCCUGGGCCGUGACCCCCAGCCCGCGUGCCAGCCCGGCACGGCACGAUUAGGCGAGCGACCACCGACACACCGAGGCACGAGUCCGCACGAGAGCGAGCUGCGGGCGAUUUAGGCGGGGCGCGCGCGGGGGAACGCGGGAGGGGGCACGUGCGAGCGAUUUAGGCGGGACUUCGGGAGAUUUAGGCGGGACGGGGGGGGGGCGGUAGAUGCGGGCGAUUUAGGCGGGACGCGGGGUUUUUUUUCCGUAAGGGAGGCGGCGCGAAAAAAAUUUAGGGUUAUUUUCCUUUGCGUGCCUCGGGCCUAAACGUGCCACGAGCCGGCCCGAUUAGACAACGUGUCGUGCUUGGGCCUGGACCCGGCCACGCGGGCCGGCACCGCACGGCCCGUAUAUUAAUCGAGCCCAGGCGGGCCGUGCCGUGCCUGGCACGAUUACGACGGGCCGUGCCGGGCCGGCCCGUUGGCCAGGUAUGGGUGGGAACAGCUGAAUCAGGAGGGGCUCGAGCCCUCUUGUGCAGACUCACGUGAGUCUUCCCCCGCGAGGCACGGGCCAAAUAGACUCCGCUGGCGAGCAGUCCGGCGACCACCGGAGCGGACCAACGGCGACGGGGCUGCCGAAACAUGCGGGGGUGCAGGGCGACUAUGCAGCGAGCAUGGUUGCGGCAACGAGCACUGGGCAGGUCGAGCGCGUAACUGGAGCGGAGGGAACCCAAGUUCUUCACCUGUGAAGAUAACUUCAGAGAUCUUGCACAGAGUGUGGGGCAUGGCGCGGCCUACAGGGAGCUAUAGGUGGCGAGGAAUGGCAGGGAGAAAGGCAAAGGUUACCUAGCAACCUUAGACAAGUGAAAGACGACGGGGAGGCCACGGGAAGACGACGGGGAGGCCAGGAACUCCGACUAAUUUCCUGGUUCGGGGUUGUAGGUGAACUAUAGGAAGAAGGGGCGUCAACUGGGCGCUCGGGCAUCGGCCUUGACAUAAAAAACAGGACAGACGACGUGAUCUCGUGCGCGUAUACGAAUCUGCACGGCGCGGCGGGGCUAUUGAGCCGGCAGCAGGCUCCGGAUCGGGCCGGUCAUGGCGUUGGCCCGGGGAAGGGGAUACUGCGGGGGAUGCCUCUUACCUGCUCGCAGCGGUGGAGAAGGAGGAGAGGGAGAGAAGGAAACCCUUGGCAGAGGACUUGCUCUAUCGGGGGCGCUCGCACAAGCUCGGCGACCGUGGACAUGGCGUUGGUCCCUUGUUACUUACCGUGAGAGCGAGGUGGAAAGGGAGAGGAAGAAAGCAGGGGCAAGGAGACUACAGGUGGCGUUUGUAAAGAAUCGAUUGUCAAGAAACGAGAGAAUCGAACAAAUGAAUCAACUCUUGUCUUAUUCCAUGAUGUUCAACAUAUUUAUAUAAGGAGAAGGGACGCGAUGAAGAGAUGCGUCCGUUCGUAAAAGGGUGUGUGGUAUGUCGAUUGCCAUUCUACUAACCGACAUAGAUUAUUACAUGGGAGGAUUAUCCCUUUUAUUUAAUCUACUAAUUAAAUCCUAACACUCUCCCUAAUCCUUCCUUGUAUUUGCGAUCGAACAUCUUUGGAAUUAUCUCUCCUCCAAAAACCCCGUGGGAAAAAAAAUGCAAGGAGUAGUGUGUAUGAUAUGUUGCUAAAACUCCUUUAAACCCAUUAGAAAAUGUUAAGGAGAAAAUGAUGCAACAUAUAGUGAUUAUUGUCUCUUGAUAAUUCAUAUGAGAAAAACCUUUAAAUAAGGAGAAAACUCAUUGAUAAGUUUAGAGAACAAUUAAUAUGUCUUGAGUACUUCCUUUAAAAACUCCGAUAGGGAAAAUAGAAAGUAUGGCAUAUGAUCUUUGAGAAGAUAUUGCCUCACUAAAAACCAUUAUGAGAAACUUUGAGAGAAAACUCGCAAGGGGAAAGAGUGACAUCGUUCAUGCCAUUGAAAACUCCUUUAAAACCUAGUGGGAAAAAUACAAGGAGAAAAUGAUAUGGCAUAUAAAGACACUUGUGUUUAUAUUGUCUUGUUAAAAACCUUUAUGAGAAAAUAUUUGGGGAAAACUCAUUAAGGGAAAAAUAGUACAAUAUAUGCAAUCUGAUGAUUGUUAAUAGGUUAUAGUUUGGGAGAUUACUCCCCCUGAACUUUGCAAAUAUGAAGGACGUGUCAUACCAAUUCCAUUGACAUGAACAUGAGAUUUUAUAUAAUUUGUUGGAUUAUAACAAUAUUUCGUUUGCAAAUUAUUUCCUCACUUUUCUAUAAUCCGUGAGGAUAAGUAAUUUUCCGAGCAAUGUGAUUUAUGAUAUUGCUCUUCAUAUAACCUAUAGGGUAUUGAGUAACACAAGUGAAAGUACCUUGAUAAAUCAAGUUAUGUGAGUCUGAUGAAUCUCAACCACAUGAUUUUGAGUGUGGAUAACCAUUCUACUAAGUUAUGCAUAAUUUGCAAUGCUUUAGGAUAAAGCAAUUAUGUCAGAAUGAUAACUGGAAAUAACCAUUAAAAUCCGUUUAGAUGACUUCCAUGUGAAGGUUGUUCCAGCAAAUUCAGUUAUUGAUAUGGCGUUGUUGGGAUCAAAUAAAGAGCCAGUAUCAUUACAUUAUAUCAUGGUCAUAUCUUCUAUUUCCUGAUGGAAAUGUUCAAGAUUUACUGUAAUCUUCAGAUAUAAGAUGAUAGUACUUGUAUCAACCAUAUACCUUUUGUUUGAGGUUACACUCCGAAUAAAGAUAGCAAAUAUAGUGUCAGGCCUGACGUAGUUUGCAAGUAUAUGGGUGAUUUGGCAUAAGUGAGAUAUAGAAUUUCAUGUCCUGGUAUCACUUCAUUAUGACCCCUAGGUAUGAAUGGAUUUGUACCUUAUCAAAAAUAGCAUGACCAUACAUGUCUUUUGUUAAUAUGAUAUAUCCAAAUUGAACUUCUCGUAUAUGUUUGGAUAUAUGUAGACUGAUAUGUAUUCUUGAGAGAAUGUUCAAGUUGUAAACUUAAGCUAAAUUUGGUUGAAUCCAAAUUUUCCGUCUUGAGAUGAUUUUAUGUAUGUUUAGGUCUUAUAGAGACAUUGAUGAUGAAAUCAUCAUAUACACUGAGGUGAUGUAAGGAAAUAAAAUUUUGGUAUUCCUUUAUUAACACAUAAACAAUGAUAAUCCUUUGAGUAAUCCUCUGAAGAAGGAACUCGUCUAGUCGGUAAUACCAUAUGAUUCACGACUAUUUCUAGUCAUAGAGUGACUUAUGAAGUUUUAUACAAUACAUGUUGCGAUUUGUUUUUGGAUUCUGAAAUGAAGCCCUUCAAGGACUUUAAUAUAGAUUUCCGAAAUGAGUGACUCAUAUGAGUAUGUAGUCACUGCAUCCAUUAACGGCAUAGAUAAUAUUAUUUGUACUGCCAAUGGUAUUUAUUAUCGAAACAUAGUUCCACUCAUACCAAGAAGGUAUGUUACAUCUAAUCGAUGUCGGGUCUCUGCGUGAACCCUUUUGCUACAAGCCUCGCCUUUUCACCACCUCAUUGACUUUGUCUAUGAAUGAGAAGUUUUAGUAUUCUAUAAGAAAGAUACUUAUGUGGAGUAGGUAUUACUGUGGUAAAUACCACUCGUUUGCAGAGCGAGUGUUAUCUUCAUUACUUGCUUCCUUUUAUGUGAACCAAUAUGAGUACAACAGGAACUCUACCAUGGAUAUUGGUUCAGGGCCCAAAACGUUUUAGCAAUUUUUAGAAGAAAUAGAUGUCGACAAAUGUAGUCUUUAUUUUUAAUGAUUCUCGUGGAAUUGAUGACAUUUGUGGAAAUGUAUUUAUUCCUUUUAACUCCUUCUGAUUUCCUACAACAAUGGAGUUAAGGUGUUUCGAUGUCCCGACACGAAAACAUUUGUGCACAUUUAUGUCGGGUUUUGGAUGAUGAGCAUCCAGUGAGGUGUCUUUCAACUUGAUGAUGAAUUAUAUUUACUGAUUGAGGAUUUGAUUUCAUCUAUUUCCGCGGAAGCAUAUGCAAGAUUAUAUCUCGUGUGGUCAUACUUUUGUCCCCCUAUUUUACUGAUUGGGGACAAGAGUGGUUUAUCAGGUACCUCCACUCUUUUUGACACUUUACUGCAGGAAUAUAAAAUUGAGUGACAUCUUUGUCAUUAGUAAAUGUAUGUAACAGAUUUGCAAUGAGUUGCAAAUAUGUGAUUCUAAACUUCUAGUUUAGGUUCUUUGAGUAUGUGGAUAUAAGGACUCGAUGUGAAUAACAUUUCUAAUUUAUUUCUUGGCAUUCUUUGUGGUACUUAUCACCCCCUAAUGCCAGAAAUGUCCUUAUUGUUGAUGCAAUCAGCAUACGGGCUAUGAAUAAUUUUGAUUGACGAAUAAGUUGUUAUUCCUCACAUAGAUCCCUAAUUUUCUUUGAGAGCCCAUUGAUGUAUGCUGGAGUGGUGAUAUCGAUAUGUAACCGAAUUAUCGCAGAUAGGAAAUACUUAGUUGAUUUUCACGUAAUUACUACAAGGGGAAAGUAGUAUGCUAUGCAGUUGGUAUGAUUUAUAUCAUACUUACGGUGUGUAAUGUCGUAUUUGUCGAGCAUAAGGCUAGUAAAUUACGAUUCUAUAAGUUUGGUCAUAUUAUUAAUUUCAUUAUCUUUAAUAAGAUAUUGAACUAAACCAUUAUGUGUAUUACAUAAUGUAUUAUGUAUAAUGAGACAUUGCUUGUGAAAUGAGUUCAACGAAGUUGUCCAUUCGAAUGGAUUUAUCCCUUGUUUAGGAUAACUUGCUCUUACUUUGAGAAUUUGAGCAAUUAAUUUACUUAUAUCAUUCAUGGUUUGUGUGACAAGAGACACACUGGAAAUCAUUUUAUAAAUGUUUCCAUGAGUACCAUGAAGUAUCUAUAUAAUACCACAUAAUGGUUUAGUAAUCCACAUAUUUUUUGAAUGUGUUCAAGGAAGAAUGAGUUGCUCAUUUAGAAUUGUAAGGUGAGAGUGCCUUAAAUUAAUUUUCCCUAUCACACAUGUGGUGCACAUAAAAUCUGAUGAUUUGGGAAAUUUUGCAACUCGUUAAGUUGUGACCAACAGAAUUGUCCAUAAUUUUCUAAUCAACCCCAAACCAGGAUUGUAAUGCUUAUAACCAAAUAUUUUGUAAGAAUUAGAAAAUUAAUUUGUACGCAACAAAACCAAGUAUGAAUUGAUUCAUACAUUCAAAAUUUAUCAAACAUGAUGUCUAAGAAAUAGGAUGUUGGACAUUAUACUACAUGUAGUAGUACAAGUAUAGGCAAACAAUAUUUUGGGCAUAAUCGGGAUAUUACAUGAGGUCUCCCAUAUUACUGAAAAAUAAAUUAUGCAAACAUAUCAUAGGCGCAAACGAAUUGAUCAUUCUUUUAUUGCACUAUAUUUUUGGUUCUCCUUCUGAUGAAGAUUUGAGAACAUCAUUUACCAGAAUAGUUUUUGGUCGUAUGUUUGCAAAUUUUCAAAUAUCAAAAUGAACUUAUUUGCCUUUUAAUAAAUUCGUAAUAUGGUUUGACCAUAUGUUUGAGGGUUUAGUAAUCAUAUGUACGAUAUUUAUGUAAUCACACAUUUGACAAACUUGAGAGUUGUCUUUUUUUCAUUUGGAAAUGAUCAAUUCCCAAUUAAAAGGUAAUUCUGUCACUGGUUGUCUUUAGCCUCCACUUUACUUUGAAUUCCUCAUGGUUCUAUUUUGUGACCAUUGACUUGCUUCUCAAUACUAGAAAAUAUUUUCAAAUAAUGUUAUAGCACCCGUUGGGCGAAUAUAAUGAUUUUAAGAAAUAAUAUGUUUCUUUACCAUGAAAAUGGUAAUGCCAUCAUAAUAGGAUGUAAAGUGUAUUAUGGGAUAUUCAAUCGGAUUCAAAUAAGAAAAAUAUCUGAUCACAAAAUCUCAAUUUCAAGUUGAUUGUAUAAUUACCAAAAGUAAGGUGCGGUAGACUUGAGGCCUUGAAAAAUUAUUGGGUGAUCAUUCCAAAUGUGCUCAUGGCAGCAUGCUCUCUUAAGGGAAAUAUUCAAGGUGAAUAAAUAUUCGUCCAUUAUGUACUUAGUUUGAAAACUAAGUGAAGUUGGUGACAGGAGAAAUACAUAUGGACAUAAUUAGCUAUUAAGAGAAUAGCCAUGACAAAUAUUACGAAGGUGGAGUUAUAGUGGCCACAAAUGCCGCAUGUGGAUACAAUGACUGAUGUCAUGAAUCAUCUUACAAUAAAUACUCCCACCAAAUCAUGCAUUUACUAUAUUUGGAAAUGACAAUCAUGCAUUACUUAAAAAAUGCUAAUGCAUUUAUUUAAUUUACUUCUAGGAGUAAAAUAAAAUAUACGGAUGAAAUGAUCUUGUUGAGCACAAUCCGCCAAGGUGAUGCUUGGUGAACAUGGGGUGUAAACCUUCAAUAUAGUGCAUGCGAUAAAAUCGUUGCUAAUGUUUUGGACUUCAUUCGUGAGAAAAGUGUGACUUUAGAGUCACGGCCAAAACAUAGACUUUGCAAUUUUAACAUUGCUUUGUCACUAUUGAAAUAACAACCACAAUGUGAUGCGGAUCUUGCAAUAGUGUUUGAGACACUCGCUAUAAAUUAUGGCAUCCAUCUUGAUGGAUGGAUGACACUAUAAUUAAAAAUAGUGACGUAGGCUCCGUUGCCAUGUAUUUUACCAAUGUAAUAGAAGGUAAUCAUUAGAGUAUGCAAAUAUUUGCAUAAUUCUCUAUGACAUAUUCAAACAAAAUGAGGUUUGAAAAUUGAUAUUGGUAGAUAAUACCAUUCAACAUGCAAUAAUCAUGCAUGAAAUUACUAUGAUAGUAAAUCAUUUUAGUGAACAACAACAAUUGCUUCAGAGGAGCAAAUUUUAGUACGGCUGAUGUCAUAUAGCCAUAUGUGUAGACCUAAAUUGAUAUAGAAUAACACUUUAAAGAUAAUCACCAAUAUGGUGUAGAUCUCGCAGUAAUGGAAAACAUAGUCUGACUUUUGUCAGUAGAUGUUCAUAAUUCUAUUACCUUAUGUUAUGCUAUAUUUAAGAAAAUCACUUUAAGAUAAUCAUAUGUCAGAAUGACAUGAUGUAGACCUUGAAGUAAUAAUGGAUAGUCUGCAAAAUUUUGCAGUAGAUGCCAAUAUUAAUUUAUGAUUUCUUGAGGUAGCCACAUCUAAUAUUAAUAUUUGGAAGAGCACUUUAAAGGUAAUCAUCUUGUAAAAUUGACAAGAUGUAGACCUCACAGUAAUGGUGAAUAAUCUACAAAUGGUGCAGUAGAUCUACACACUACCUUAUGAUGCCAAAACAUCAAUUUGAAAAACAACACUUGGAAUUUUGCAUAUCAAUUCAUGCUUGUAUCAAGAAAAAUGCUCAAUUAAAAUGAAUUGAUUUUUAUUUCCUAGAAAACAAAAAUCCCAAUUGCAAAUAAACGUAUUAAUCUCGACAUGUAGCGAACAUGGAGAUACAUAAGAUCAAUUUAGGAUCUCGAGUAUAUUAGUACUCAACAAAAAAUGGCACAUAAUUAUAUGUACCAGAUUUAACAGUUUAAACAGUAAUAAAAUCUCUGCUAGAAUUAACUGUAAAAUCAUAAUUAACACAAGUUUUGGCCUAUUCAAGAAUAGGCAAAGCCGCAAGGACUAAAGUGCAAACUGUGAAAAGAUAAGGUUGCUUCUUCCAUUCUCCUCUCCCGUAUGGGGAUAGGAAUCACCCAUCCAUUCCCUUGGUGGGGAUUUUCCCCGUACGAGGGCACCGUUGGCUGCCGCGCCCUCAGCACCAACUACUGCUGAAUCUCAAAACCGCCAGAAGCCAUGGCUGCAACCGAGCGGCGGCCAGUCGAGGCCGAAUUCUGCGGCUACGGCCAGUAGCAUGGUGCGGGCGCUGGGAGGCAUGCGGGAGCACGACUACAGCAUGGCGUUGCCGGCCACGGUACGGGCGCUGGGAGGCACGCAGGAGUGCGACCACAGCACGGCGCUGCCAGCCAUGGUGCGGGUGGGCUAGUGCGAGCGCAACGCGACGCAAGCAGGCGCAACGCACGACCGGCGGACGAGCAGAUGGGCGGCGGGCGCGUCGCGACGCGUGCGGGGAGAGGCGGGGCGGCCUUGGCGCAUGCGAGCGUGGCGCGGCGUGUGACCUCGGCACGGGCCGGGUAAGGCCUCGGCACGGGCGAGCGUGGCUCGACGCAUGGCCUCGGCGCGGGUAGGCGCGUCGCAAGGGCAAGGCCUCGGCCUUGCGGGCGACGGCCUCGACCUCGGCGAGGCGGCGGUUCUUGGCCUUGCGGACGGCGGGCUCGGCCUCGGCGAGGCGGGGAUUCUCGGCGUCCUCCUCGCAUGGCGCGGGCGCGUGACACAGGCGGCUAGGAGGGCGUGGCCAGAGGCGGUCACGGCCUGGCGUUGCCGGCCACAGCGCGGAACAUAAGAAGAUCUCGUUGUUGUUGGGUUGUUACAACUCUCCCCCACUAUAAGAAGAUCUCAUCCAGAGAUCUAGGAACUCAAUAAGUCAGGAUAUUCAGAACUGAGAAGGUCCUCACGUUCCAAACGGUAUCUUUGUGAAAAUGAUGUGAGUCUUGCACUCGGUCUCUUCAAGGAUAGCAACUCGAUGCUCACGAUAGGAUAGGUCUGCAACGUGUUGGAAAUCAGCGAUUGACUCACGAGUCUAGAAACACUUCCAGAGCUGGGAUACAUGAAAGACAUCAUGCACAUUGGAGAAAUUUGAAGGGAGCUCGAGUUGGUAGGUAAUGUCGCCUCUAUUUCAAACAAUUUUUAAAGGACCCACAAAGCAUGGUGCAAACUUCCCUUUGAUGCCAAAUCGCUGAGUGCCCUACAUUGGAGACACUCGGAGAUAGACAUAGUCAUUGAUUUCAAAGGCGAUGUCACGAUGCCUGCUAUCAUAAUAGCUCUUUUGACGAGAUUGAGCGGCUUUGAGCUUUUCACGAAUGACACGGCACAUAUCUCCAGCUUCAGUGAUCAUGUCAUUUCCACAGAUUUGACGCUCACCGGUUUCACACCAACUAAGCGGGGUAUGACAUUUCCUGCCAUAGAUAAUCUCGAAUGGGGCCUUGCCCGAAUUUCCUUGGAAACUAUUGUUAUAGGAGAACUUGGCAAACGGGAGGCAGUCUUACCACUUCACGCCGAAAGAGAUAACAAACGCUCUAAGCAUAUUUUCAAGGAUUUGAUUGCCUCUCUCAACUUGACCACUUUUUCGAGGGUGGAAAGUUGUACUGAAACGGAUUUGGGUACCCUUUGCAGAUUGGAAGGAAUCCUAGAACUUUGAAAUGAAGAUGCUUCCACGGUCUGAAGAUAUAAGCUGAGGAAUACCAUGCAAAGAAACUAUCCUUGAUGUGUCCAACUCUGCCAGUUGAGCUAUCGUGAUAGAUACUUUAACCAGAAGGAAAUGGGCGACUUUAAUGAGCUUAUUGAUGACCACAAAUAGCAAUAUUUGUAGCAUUUUGAUAGCUAGAAACAAACACCUAAACAUGGCUUUUCAUGGCAAACAAAAAUACCAUGGGCUAGUACACAUGUCAAAGGGCAUUUUUCAUGUUCAAAUUUAUUUCAUAAGGUGCAUGGAUCAAAUCACACAAAAUUGACAAAAUGACACUUCAGCAAAAUUUAUCAUGCACACAAACAUGCUCAAAUGAUAAAACUACUGCUACGGCUGGAUUAUAUGUAUUUUCCUACCCAUAUUUCAUAUAUAAUAUGUGUGGGCUACUGUCCAAAAUAUUUCACAACAAUUUAAGCAAGUUUAUCACAAUUCUUAAAAUCUAGAAAUAAAAUAAAAUGUUUUAUAGAAAANNNNNNNNNNNNNNNNNNNNNNNNNNNNNNNNNNNNNNNNNNNNNNNNNNNNNNNNNNNNNNNNNNNNNNNNNNNNNNNNNNNNNNNNNNNNNNNNNNNNNNNNNNNNNNNNNNNNNNNNNNNNNNNNNNNNNNNNNNNNNNNNNNNNNNNNNNNNNNNNNNNNNNNNNNNNNNNNNNNNNNNNNNNNNNNNNNNNNNNNNNNNNNNNNNNNNNNNNNNNNNNNNNNNNNNNNNNNNNNNNNNNNNNNNNNNNNNNNNNNNNNNNNNNNNNNNNNNNNNNNNNNNNNNNNNNNNNNNNNNNNNNNNNNNNNNNNNNNNNNNNNNNNNNNNNNGCCACGCGUACAUGCAAAACGGUGACACGGGUGGUCCACCUAUCAUAGGGCAUAAUUCCAAAAAAUGGCUCUUUCGGCAAAAUUUAUCAUGCACACAAACAUGCUCAAAUGAUAAAACUACUGCUACGGCUGGAUUAUAUGUAUUUUCCUACCCAUAUUUCAUAUGUGUGGGCUACUAUCCAAAAUAUUUCACAACAAUUUAAGCAAGUUUAUCACUAUUCUUAAAAUCUAGAAAUAAAAGAAAAUGUUUUAUAGAAAANNNNNNNNNNNNNNNNNNNNNNNNNNNNNNNNNNNNNNNNNNNNNNNNNNNNNNNNNNNNNNNNNNNNNNNNNNNNNNNNNNNNNNNNNNNNNNNNNNNNNNNNNNNNNNNNNNNNNNNNNNNNNNNNNNNNNNNNNNNNNNNNNNNNNNNNNNNNNNNNNNNNNNNNNNNNNNNNNNNNNNNNNNNNNNNNNNNNNNNNNNNNNNNNNNNNNNNNNNNNNNNNNNNNNNNNNNNNNNNNNNNNNNNNNNNNNNNNNNNNNNNNNNNNNNNNNNNNNNNNNNNNNNNNNNNNNNNNNNNNNNNNNNNNNNNNNNNNNNNNNNNNNNNNNNNNNNNGCCACGCGUACAUGCAAACGGUGACAGGGGUGGUCCAUCUAUCGUAGGGACAUAAUUCCAAAAAAUGGUUCUAAAGGCGCGCUCACGGGAUUCGAACAUGGGUCUCUGAGGCGAGAGCGAGGGAGCCAAGCCAUUGGGCUAGGCAUGAACAACUGAAGCGAGAUGGACUCGAGCCCUCUAGUGCAGACUUAGGUGAGUCUUCCUCCGCAAGGCAGGGGCCUAAUUAAUGGCGCCGGCAAGCAGUCCGGCGACCAUCGGAGCGGACGAACAACGUAGGGGCUGCAGAAACGUGCGGGAGUUGCAGGGCGACUACGUGGCGAGCAUGAUUGUGGCACCAAGUGCUUGGCAGGGCGAGCGCAUAACUGGAGCGGGGGUAACCCAAGCUAUUCACCUCUGAAUAUAACUUCAAAGAUCUUGCAUAGACGCGGGGAGCACAAUGAUGGGAUGGGCAUGGCGAGGCUAACGGGGAGCUAUCAGCGGCGAGGAAUGGCAGGGAGGAAGGUGGUGGUAUGCUAGCUACCUUAGACAAGUCGAAGACGAUGGGGAGGCCACAAGAACAUGACUGUGAGGCGAGGAAGAAAGGGCAUUUCCUAGCCCACGGUUGCAGGUGAAGUAGAGGAAGAAAGGGCAUCGACGGGGCACUCGAGGCUCGUCCUUGAUGUUAAAAAUGGGAUCGGCGACGUGAUAUCAUGCGCAUAUCCUAAUCUACAGGGAACGGUGGGGCUACCAUGCCAGCGGUAGGCUCAGUAUCGGGUCGGUCAUGGCGUUGGCACGGGAAAGGGGAUACUGCGAGGGGUGCCUCUUACCUGCUGGCAGCGGCGGAGGAGUAGAAGAGGGGGGAAGGAAACCCUAGGUAGAGGGCUUUCUUUAUAGGGGACGCAGGGACGAGCUCGACCACCGUGGCUAUGGGAUUGGUUCCCCGUUACUUACCAUGGGAGGGAGGUGGAAAUGGAGAGCAAGAAAGCACGGGGAAGGAGAGAUUGCAGGUGGGGUCGGUCGGCGUCUACGGUGGAGUUACAGCGCGCUCGAGCGAGGGAGGCUGGGUUACUGGGGGGUGCUCGGCCGGUGUUAAAGUAAAAAAAAGAUUGAAGAAAAGUGAAUGGACGGUUAGUCCUGUUUCUUUUGAUUCUCAAGUAUAUAUACAUCUGGAAGAGCUGGGAAUAAGAGGUGCUUGUUCGGAGGCGUCCCUCCAGAACAGGUGCCUGUUGGCAAUAGAGAGAGAAAAGACAUGACUAUUCGGGGUUGGACACACCGUUUGCUAAUUAAUUUCUAACACCCCCCUUGUACAACAUCAUUCCUUGAAUGUUUCAUUGUUGAAAGCUUCUUGCAUAUAUAUCUUCCAUCUUGAGAAAUCUUCCAUAUAAUCUUGGGAGUCUCCCCCAAAAACCCUGUGGUAAAAAUAUGAGGAGAAUAGAGUAGAUAUGUUGCUAAAACUCCUUUAAACCAAGUGGAAAAAAUAAGGAGAAGAUGAUGCAACAUAUGAUGAUUAUUGUCUCUUGAUAACUCAUAUAAGAAAAACCUUUGAAGAAGGAAAAAACUCAUCAAUAAGUUUAGAGAACAAUUAAUAUGUCUUGAGUACUUCCUUAAAAAACCCUGAUAGGGAAAAUAGAAAGUAUGACAUAUGAUCUUUGAGAAUAUAUUGCCUCACUAAAAACCAUUAUGAGAAACUUUGAGAGAAAAUUCAUAACGGAAAAGAGUGCAAUCGUACAUGCCACUGAAAACUCCUUUAAAACCCAGUGGGAAAAAUAUAAGGAGAAAACGAUAUGGCAUAUAUAGACAUUUGUGUUUAUAUUAUCUUGUUAAAAACCUUUUAUGAGAAACCAUUAGGGAAAACUCAUCAAGGAAAAAAGAGUACAAUAUAUGCAAUCUCAUGAUUGUUAAUAGGUUAUAGUUUGUGAGAUUACUUCCCCUGAACUUUGAAGAUAUGGAGGAUGUCUCAUACCAAUUGCAUUAACAUGAACAUGAGAUUGUGUAUAAUAUGUUGGAUCAUCACAGUAUUUUGUUUGCAAAUUACUUCCUCACUUUUCUAUAAUCCGUCAGGAUAAGUAAUUUCCUAGCAAUGUGAUUUAUGAUAUUGCUCUUCAUAUAACCUGUAGGUAUUGAGUAACACAAGUGAAAGUAUCUUGAUAAAUCAAGUUAUGUGAUUCUGAUGAAUCUCAACCACAUGAUUUUGAGUGUGGUUAAUCAUUCUGCCAAGCCAUACAUAUUUUGCAAUGCUUUUAGAUAAAGCAAUUAUGUGAAAAUGAUAAGUGUUUAUAACCACUGAAGUCCAUUUACACGACUUCCAUAUGAAGGCUAUUACAACAAAUUCAGUCAUUGAUAUGGCGUCAUUUGGAUCAAAUAAAGAGACAAUAUCAUUACAUCAUAUCAUGGUCAUAUCUUCUAUUUCCUGAUGGAAAUAUCCAAGAUUUACUGUAAUCUUCAGAUAUAAAAUGAUAUUAAUUAUAUCAACCAUAUACCUUUUGUUGGGGGUUGCACUCCGAAUAAAGAUAACAAAUAUAGUGUCAGUCCUGACAUAGUUUGCGAGUAUACGAGUGCUUUGACAUUAGUGAGAUAUAGAACUUCAGGUUGUAGUAUACUUCAUUAUCACCCCUAGGUGUGAAUGGAUUUGUACCAUAUCAACGAUAGUAUGACCAUACAUGUCUUUUGUUGUUAUGAUAUAUCCAUAGUGAACUUCUCGUAUAUGUUUUGGGUAUAUGUAGACUAGUACAUAUUCUUGAUCGAAUGCUCAAGCUGUAAACUUAAGCUAAAUUUUGUUAAAUCCAAAUUUUCUAUCUUGAGAUGAUUUUAUGUAUGUUUAGGUAUUGUAUAGACAUUAAUGAUGAAAUUAUCAAUAUACAGAGAGGUGAUAUAAGGAAUUCAAAUUUGGUAUUCCUUUGUUAACACAUAAACAAUCAUCAUUCCUUAAGUAAUCCUUCGUAAGAAGAAAAUCAUUUAGUCGGUGGUACCAUAUGAUUUGCGACUAUUUUGAGCCAUAGAGUGACUUCUGAAAUUUUACACAAAUAUGUUGCGAUUUAUUUUGGCUUUGGAAUUGUAAGCCCAUUAGGGAGUUCGUUAUAAACUUCCAAAAUGAGUAACUGAUAUGAGUUUGUAGUUACUCCUUCCAUUAACUGCAUGGAUAAUAUUAUUUGUACUGCCAAUGAUAUUUAUUAUCGAAACUUAAUUCCACUCAUACCAAGAGUGUAUGUUACAUCAUAAUUUGAUGUCGGGUCUCUGCGUGAACCCUUUUGCUACAAGUCUCACUUUCCCACCACCUCAUUGACUUUUACAUAAAUGAGAAGUUUUUAGUAUUCCUUAUGGGAGAUACUAAUGAGUAUGUAUUACUGUGGUAAAUACCACUCUUUGCUGAGCGAGUGUAAUUCUUCAUUACUUGCUUCCUUUUAUGUGAACCAAUAUGAGUACAAGAGGCACGCUACCAUGGAUUUUGGUUCACGGCCCAAAAGGUUUUAGCAAUUUUGAGAAGAAAUAUAUGUCGACCAAUGUAGUCUUUAUUUUAUAUGAUUCUAGUGGAAUCGAUAAAAUUUGUGGAAAUGUAUUUAUUCCUUUUAACUCCUUGUGAUUUCCUACAACAAUGGAGUCAAGGUGUUUCGAUGUCCCGACAGCAAAACAUUUGUGCACAUUUAUGUUGGGCUUUGGAUGAUGAGCAUCUAGUGAGGUGUCUUUCAACUUGAUGUUGAAUUACAUUUACUAGUUGAGGAUUUGAUUUCCUCUAUUUCCGCGGAAGCAAUGCGAGAUUAUUUCUCAUGUGGUCAGAUUUCUCCAGCUCUUUCUCUCAUUUGGGGAGAAGAGUGGUUUAUCAGGUACCUCCACUCUUUCUGGCACUUUACUGCAGGAAUAUAAAUUUGAGUGACACCUUUGUCAUUAGUAAAUCUAUGUGGCAGAUUUGCAAUAAGAUGCAAAUAUGUAAUUCUAAACUUCUUGUUCAGAUUCUUUGAGUACGUGGAUAUAAGGACUGAAUGUCAAUAACAUGUCUAAUUUAUUUCUCGGCAUUCUUUGUGGUACUAAUCUCCCCCUAACGCCGAAAAUGUCAUUAUUGUUGAUGCAAUCAGCAUACGGGCUGUGAAUAAUUUUGAUUGACGGAUAAAUUGUUAUUCCUUACAUAGAUCCCUAAUUUUUGUUUGUGAGGGCACAUUGAUGUAUGCUGGAGUGGUGAUAUCGGUAUGUAACCGAAUUAUCGCAGAUAGGAAAUACUUUGUUGAUUUCCACGUAAUUACUACAAGGGGAAAGUAGUAUGAUAUGUAGUUGGUAUGAUUUAGAUCAUACUUACACUGUAUAAGGCCGUAUGUUACCAGCAAGAGGCUGGUAAAUUUACAAUUCUUUAAGAUUGGUCUUGUAACUAAUUUCACUAUCUUUGAUAAGAUAUCAAAUUAAACCAUUAUGGGUAUAUACAUAAAGUAUUAUAUAUAAUCAGACAUUGCUUGUGAAAUGAGUUCGACGAAGUUGUCCAUUCGAAUGAAUUUAUUCCUUGUUUAGGAUAAUUUGCUCUUACUUUGAGAAGUUGCUCAAUUAAUUUAGUUAUAUCAUUCAUGUUUUUUGCGACAAGAGACACACUUGAAAUCAUUUUUUAAUGUUUCUAUGGGAACCAUGAAGUAUCUAUAUAAGACAACAUAAUGGUUGAAUAAUCCACAUAUCUUCUGAAUGUGUUCAAGGAAGAAUGAGUGGCUCAUUUAGAAUUGUAAGGUGAGAGUGCCUUAAAUUAAUUUCCCCUAACACACAUGUGGUGCACAUAAAAUUUGAUGAUUUGGGAAAUUUUGCAACUUGUUAAGUUGUGACCAACAAAAUUGUCCAUAAUUUUCUAAUCAACCCCAAACGAGGAUUGCAAGGCUUAAAGCUAAAUAUUUUGUAAGAUUUAGAAAAUUAUUUUGUACGCAACAAAACUGAGUUUGACUCGAUUCAUGCAUUCAAAAAACUAUCAAAUAUAAUGUUCAGGAAAUAGGAUAUUGGAUAUUACACUACAUGUACUAGUACAAGUAUAGGCAAACAAUAUUUUGGGAAUAAUAGGUAUAUUACAUGAGGUCACCCAUAUUACUGAAAAAUGAAUUACGCAAACAUAUCAUAGACACAAAAGAAUUGAUUAUUCUUUUAUUGCACUAUAUUUUUGGUUCUCCUUGUGAUGAAGAUUUGAGAACAUCAUUUACCAGAAUAUUUUCUCGUUGUAUGUUUGUAAAUUUUGAAAUAUCCCAAUGAACUUAUUUGCCUUUUAAUAAAUUUGUGAUGUGGUUUGACCAUGUGUUUGAAGGUUUGGUAAUCAUAUGUACGAUAUUUAUGUAACCACAGAUUUGACAAAUUUGAGAGUUGUCUUUGUGAUCAUUUGAAAAUGAUUUAUUCCCUAUUAAGAGGUAAUUCUGUCUUUGGUUGUCUUUUAGCCACCACUUUACUUUGAAGUCCUCAUGGCUAUAUUUCGUCACCAGUGACUUGGUAUUCACUACCAACAAGAUUUUCAAAUGAUGGUAUAGCACCUGUGGGGUGAGUCUGAUGAUUUUAAGAAAUUCCAUGUUCCUUCAUCUUGGAAAAUGGUAGUACCAUCAUUAGAGGAUGAAAAGUGUAUUAGUGGAUUUUCAAUUGGAUCUGCAUGUGAAGAUUCUGGCCAUGAGAUCUCAACUUGAAGUUGAUUAAGGUGACAGAACUGUGAGUUGCGAUAAGAUUUGAUGUCUUUGAAAAACAAAUGGGAGAUCAUUAGCGAUGUGCUCAUGGUAGCAUGUUUCUCUUGAGCGAAUAUUCAAGGUGAAUCUAUAUUCAUUCAUUGUGUACUUAGUUUGAGAACCAAGUGAAGUUGGUGACAUAUAAAAUGCAUAUGUGCAUCAAUAGAAUAGCCAUCUGUUACAUGAAAUGGUCAUGCAUUAUUUAAUUUACUUCUUGGAGUUAAAUAUAUGGAUGAAAUGAUCUUGUUGAGCAAAAUCUACCAAGGUGAUACUUGGUGAACAUGGGGUGUAAACCUUCAAUAUAGUCCAUGCGAUGAAAUCGUUGAUAAUGUUUUGGGCUUCAUUCAUGAGAAAAAGUGUGACCUUAUAGUCACGGACAAAACAUAGACUUUGCAAUUUUAACAUUGCUUAGUCACUAUGAAAAUAACAAACCACAAUGUGAUGUGGAUCUAGCAAUAGUGUUUGAGACACUCGCUAUAAAUUAUGGUAUCCAUCUUGAUGGAUGGAUGACAUUAUAAUUAUAAAUAGCGACGUAGGCUCCAUUGCCAUGCAUUUUACGAAUGUAAUAGAAGGUAAUCACAUGUAUAUGCAAAUAUUUUCAUGGUUUCCUAUGACACAUUCAAGAAAAAUGUGCAAGAAUAAUAUUUACUAUGAGAGUAAAAUAUUUUAAAGAACAACAACAAUAAAUGCUUCGAAGGAGCAAAUUCUAGUACAGUUGAUGCCUUAUAGCCAUAUGUGUAGACCUUAAUUUAUAUAGGAUAACACUUUGAAGAUAAUCACCAAUAUGGUGUAGAUCUCGCAGUAAUAGAAAACAUAGUUUGACUAUUGUCAGUAGAUGUUCAUCAUUCUAUUACCUUAUGUUAUCUAUUUUUAAGAAAAUCACUAUGAAGGUAGUCAUCUGUCAGAAUGACAUGAUGUAGACCUUGCGGUAAUAAUGGAUAGUGUGUAAAAUUUUGUAGUAGAUGCCAAUAUUACCUUAUGAUUUCUUGAGGUAGUCACAUCUAAUAUUAAUAUUUGGAAGAGCACUUCGAAGGUAGUCAUUUUGUUAAAAUGACAAGACGUAGACUUUACAGCAGUGAUGGAUAAUCUGCAGAUUGUGUAGUAGAUGCCAUCAACACCUUGUGAUUUACAAAUAUGUUUUGGGCUAGACACCUUAAUAUUUAGAAGAGCACGUUGAAGGUAGUCAUUUAUGAAAAUGACAAAAGACAUAGAACUCACAGUAGUGAUGGAUAAUUUACAAAUUGUGCAAUAGAUAAUAACUGGUGAUUCAUAAAUAAAACGCGAUGUAGUCAUAUUGAGUAUGACACUUCGUCAUCCUUGUUUUGAAUUACAACUAAAUUUGCAAGAAAAAAAAUUGAUUUUGCAAAAAUUAUAGUUGUUAUCUUAAAAUGCAUGCCUUAGGAAAUGUUUGAAAUUCUGAAGAAUAAAUGUAGGUCAAACAUUCUUCUGCAUUAGUAUUAUUGUGGUAAUACAUAUAGAUGCAAAGCAUAAUGUUUUACAUAUUUAUAAAGACAUGAGGCUUCAAAUAAAUAUCUUAGGAAGAAAUCCGAUGGAAGUUCGUCUAAUCCUCAGGGCUAGACCACAAAAUACACAAGAAUAAGAGAGAGUGAACAGGCUAUGACCAAAUCAAGCAAAUGGAUAAGGUUUUCAUAAUCUUCUGUUGUACGGUUCCUGAAUGAUAAGGUGUGCGUCUCUUUGUGUGGUUAAGAAUCCAUUGGAUAAACCCAACUCGACACCGCGCCGUCUGCGCUUCCGCGCAAAGCACUGGCUGUUGGCCGGCGCCACAGCCAAGCGCCGGGCUCGCCACAAUUAUUCGCCACCAGUUGCAGGGAGCGGGGUGCGUGUUCUCCCGGAGCACCGGGCUGGCCACAAUUAUUCGCCGGGCUGGCAACAAGCCGCACCGGAGGGUGCCACUGCCCUACCGUGUCUCGUCGUGGCCGCGCAUGAAGGAGAGGGCGCAAUCACGGCCAUUCGCCAAUUGCAUCGCUGGCCCGUGCGUUGCGUUUCGAGAGGAGGCCAUGGCUGCGCCUCGCGCCUGAUGACUUUGCCGUCUGGCCAUUUGCCACGUCGUGCCGGAGGGCGCCGCUGCAAGAGGUCAAGGAUGCGCCGUUCGUCUAAGGGCGCUAUAGUCGCGUUGAAGAUGCAGGUGUGAUCCUGACUAGUUGUUGCUACCAUCUUGAAGAUUUUCUGUUCAGAGUGACGUCGCCCACGCCGACUUUCCUUCAAGUAGAUUGUUGAAUAUUGAUCGAUCCAUGUAGAGAUUCUCCCACGGCAUGCAUGAACGUACAUAAAAACAAAAUCAAUUUUUAAAUUGCUGACCCUAAUCACAAGAAGACAAUAGAUUAGGCUGAUCAAUUUUUGUUCAUGAAUGCAUGCAUGUCGAUGCAUGGCCGUCUUUGUCGUGGAUGCCAUCCGUUUAGCGAGAAGCCUGGCCGGACCGACGGCUUCGUGCGCUACCAGACCACUAGAAUGCAUUUCGACGGGUAGUGCCGCGUUGCAAUUGAACAAGAGAAAACUCGGCAUCACUCUCGGGCUGGUGCCAUUGACGCCGUCGUGCUUUCCUCCGCUGACGCUGUUCGUCUUAUCGUUGCCUAAUCGCUCAAGGUUAGAGCAAAGUGCUGAUAACAUGUUAAACUAAAACGAGAUUGAAUGAAAGUGAAUGGAC